Long non-coding RNA from Mastomys coucha (southern multimammate mouse), 1203 nucleotides. RefSeq lists it as uncharacterized. Lineage: Eukaryota; Metazoa; Chordata; Mammalia; Rodentia; Muridae. The transcript has 3 exons. The record is from RefSeq and is a predicted model, not a curated record.
AAUAGUACAGGUGACUCUGGGAAAAGCCAAUGUCAGGAAGACAAGGCUUGCCCAGGAUAGAAGUCCCCAGCAAGAGAGAGUUAAGUUCAGAUUUCACUGGACUUCCAUCUGUAAAAGCGACACAUAGGAUGGGCUGGUGCUGUUCCCAGGAAUGUUCUCGAAUGUCCACACGCUCGGCUGUGGACUGUGACUGGCCUGCUGACAGACGCUAGGGAUUUGGUUCUGUUGGUAAACAACUUGCUACAAAAAUAACGGGGCCUAAUUUUGGAUACCCAGCAACCCUGGAAAAAGGCACAGUGGCACACACCCGUAAUCUCAGUGCUGGAGAGGCAAAGCCAGGAGGAUCCCUGAGGUUUGCUGGCGAGCCAAACUAACUCAGUGAGCUCCAGUGAGCUCAGAGACACUAGCUCAAAAGACACCCAGUACCAGUGUCUGGUCUCCACACAUCCGCGCAUGCACUUGUGCACACAUACAAACCAGGAACAAGAGCUGAAAAGGCAGGCAUAAGGAAGGCUGGCUGACCUCAUCAACCAGUGUCUACGCUUGGAUCCUUGUACAGAUACGGCACACACUUGCAGAGAAACUCACCCGUGCCCGCCAACAGAAAGCAUCUGGCUGUGCAAGAUCACACCUGUUGCCCUAAUCUGUGCCCAGGCAUGCAUUUGAGCAGCGGCAACCUGGGGAUAGCGUUUCACCACACCAGGGCCGGACCACACAAUAAAGGACAGUUCAGGACCUGUGUGCACGGGCUGUACACACUCUGAGGAGGUAGACAACUGUCCCUGUACAGUAUCCCAAAGUCCAUGUUUUGUUCCCAGCCCCCACCCAGCCUACAUUAUCCCUGGACCUACUUCUCCUACUAGGAGAUGCUUCAAGGUCCUCUCUGUGAGCCAUCCCCUAUGCUUCGGCCUCCAAUACCAAAGUGUACCAGGACUCCCCCACCCUCUGGUGGAUUCAAGUCUGCACAGAAGCUUACCUGCCUACAGGUGAGGCCCAGGAAGCGGCUGACCAAAGAGAGGCCAACCAGAGCCGGGGCUGAAGCCAGCAAGCCACUCACUCCAAACCCCAGGCAUCCUGACCUUGCUUUGGGGGUAAAUGGGUGAUACUUAGCUUGGACUUUUCGAGACCCAGUCUUUCACAUUCUAGAAUCCUCUUGCCUAAGGAGAAGACUGAUAUCUACCCUUAAAACAUGCCUCAAAUCUC